Molecule: ribosomal RNA, 253 nt
Filed under: uncultured bacterium
Lineage: Bacteria
Description: partial 16S ribosomal RNA
Rfam family: Bacterial small subunit ribosomal RNA
Source: RNAcentral
GUACGGGGGGGCAAGCGUUGUUCGGAAUUACUGGGCGUAAAGGGCUCGUAGGCGGCCAACUAAGUCAGACGUGAAAUCCCUCGGCUUAACCGGGGAACUGCGUCUGAUACUGGAUGGCUUGAGAUUGGGAGAGGGAUGCGGAAUUCCAGGUGUAGCGGUGAAAUGCGUAGAUAUCAGGAGGAACACCGAUGGCGAAGGCAGGUCUCUGGGCAUUAACUGACGCUGAGGAGCGAAAGCAUGGGGAGCGAUCCGG